AACGAACGCUGGCGGCAUGCCUAACACAUGCAAGUCGAACGAGACCUUCGGGUCUAGUGGCGCACGGGUGCGUAACGCGUGGGAACCUGCCCUUAGGUUCGGAAUAACUCCCCGAAAGGGGUGCUAAUACCGGAUAAUGUCUUCGGACCAAAGAUUUAUCGCCUUUGGAUGGGCCCGCGUUGGAUUAGCUAGUUGGUAGGGUAAAAGCCUACCAAGGCGACGAUCCAUAGCUGGUCUGAGAGGAUGAUCAGCCACACUGGGACUGAGACACGGCCCAGACUCCUACAGGAGGCAGCAGUGGGGAAUAUUGGACAAUGGGCGAAAGCCUGAUCCAGCAAUGCCGCGUGAGUGAUGAAGGCCUUAGGGUUGUAAAGCUCCUUUACCCGGGAUGAUAAUGACAGUACCGGGAGAAUAAGCUCCGGCUAACUCCGUG
This 433-nucleotide ribosomal RNA is filed under the name uncultured bacterium. RNAcentral's name for it is "partial 16S ribosomal RNA". It matches the Rfam family "Bacterial small subunit ribosomal RNA", at positions 29 to 507 of the family's 1533-position model. The record is from RNAcentral.